UACGUAGGGCGCAAGCGUUAUCCGGAGUUACUGGGCGUAAAGCGCGGGCAGGCGGUCUGACAAGUCUGAUGUGAAAUCUCCGGGCUUAACCGGGAGAGGCCAUUGGAAACUGACAGGCUGGAGGGCAGUAGAGGUAGGCGGAAUUCCGGGUGGAGUGGUGAAAUGCGUAGAGAUCCGGAGGAACACCAGAGGCGAAGGCGGCCUACUGGGCUGCACCUGACGCUGAGCCGCGAAAGCCAGGGGAGCGAACGGG
RNAcentral lists this ribosomal RNA (253 nucleotides) under uncultured bacterium. RNAcentral describes it as "partial 16S ribosomal RNA". It matches the Rfam family "Bacterial small subunit ribosomal RNA", at positions 524 to 776 of the family's 1533-position model. The record is from RNAcentral.